UCCUAAAAGAAGAAGUAAGAGUCCUUAUUGUUGGCAGUAAAAUCAGUGUUAAGGCUGCAGGUCGAAAGGGAGUCUGGAUUUCUAAAUAUUCCUAGUCAGAAUACUGCCAACACUAAAUUAGGUCUAUUUUGUUUUUAAAAUAGCUCUUGUCUGAUAAAUGCCUAUUUCCUUUGUAGAUACACAAUCUCAAGCCAAUGCUGUCUGUAAAGGUAAGUUUCUGUUCUUGUACUUACAGAACGCUAAGUAAAUAAAAAUAGUACCUUUAGUUGUGCCUUUGUGCCAUAAUGAUGAUACUUAUUUGCUACUCUUGAGAAAAUAAUGAUGAGAACACUUAACCCACCUUUGUUUCAAACUGAGGCACAAUCUAUGCUCUUAAAAAGAAUCUUUUGUAAUUUAAAACAGACAUUAAAACAUUUGCUGUUUUCUCUACAGGGUUUCACAAAUGAUUCUGUGAUCAUGGAACAAGGAUUGAUUCUGUGUUUGCAAAUAUGGGAACGCUACCCAUUGAUGUGCUGGCCUUCGGCUUCUCUAAUAUGGAUCAGCUUCAGAUGAUCAAACAUGGUUUCACAAAUGAUUCUGUGAUCAUGGAACAAGGAUUGGUAAGUUAUAAGAUUUAAAUAGUCUGUUAGGUUAUUUUGUCCAAGGAAGGAUGUGUGUGAUGAAAACAUAGUUCAGCAGAUAAUCUGUGAUGAACUCUUUGUCUUUCGCUCCUAUCUGAUGCAUCCUCUAUUUAAAGCUAGUCUGCUCUUGGAUUGUUCCUGAUACAGACAGGCCUACUUUAAGUAAUUGUUUGUUAAAAACCCCUCUGACCUCAACAGUAACUUGGUAGCUGAAUGGCAUUUUUAGAUUUCUGCUGAUAAACAUGAAAAUUUUGUCAUUUCAUUGUAUUCACUUACUUAUAUCUGAAUUUAAAAUAAAUUAUAUGUCCCUCCCA
RNAcentral lists this long non-coding RNA (934 nucleotides) under Notechis scutatus (mainland tiger snake). RNAcentral describes it as "lncRNA (ENSNSUG00000013628.1)". The stretch from base 647 to 726 matches the Rfam family "Small nucleolar RNA snR60/Z15/Z230/Z193/J17". The record is from RNAcentral. Lineage: Eukaryota; Metazoa; Chordata; Lepidosauria; Squamata; Elapidae.